CCAAAAUAGAGUGACUUGUACCCUGAAAUUCUUGUGAAUAUUUCUAGUUGAUUUGGCACCAUAUUUUGGGACUUGAGAUAUGAUACAGAAUAAAAGAUUCUCCACCUGAGCAGUAGAUGCUAAUGGUAUUUUGAAGGUUUUCUUGUCCAUCACUUCCAUUGUUGGCAUGGCUAGGUCCUCCUCACAAAGAAGUCUAGUUCUAUUGAUGGGUAAAUUGGACCAUACAAGUUAGCUAUUUAUGGGACUCAUAGGCUUCAAAAGAACAUGAAUACACUAACUGAUCUCUUACCUAACCUUUGGAUUGUUGCCAUCAGAAUUUGAAAUGAUCUGUUAGGCCCU
This 339-nucleotide long non-coding RNA is filed under the name Phoenix dactylifera (date palm). RNAcentral's name for it is "long non-coding RNA (PDAC_LNC004433)". Lineage: Eukaryota; Viridiplantae; Streptophyta; Magnoliopsida; Arecales; Arecaceae. The record is from RNAcentral.